RNAcentral lists this ribosomal RNA (272 nucleotides) under uncultured bacterium. RNAcentral's name for it is "partial small subunit ribosomal RNA". It matches the Rfam family "Bacterial small subunit ribosomal RNA", at positions 26 to 285 of the family's 1533-position model. The record is from RNAcentral.
AGAAUCAACGCUGGCGGCGUGCCUAACACAUGCAAGUCGAACGCGAAAGGGGCGCAAGUCCUGAGUAGAGUGGCAAACGGGUGAGUAACACGUGGGUGACCUGCCUUCGAGUGGGGGAUAACGUUCCGAAAGGAACGCUAAUACCGCAUGACAUCCUGCGUUUGGAAACGCGGACAUCAAAGCUGGGGAUCGCAAGACCUGGCGCUUGGAGGAGGGCCCGCGCCUGAUUAGCUAGUUGGUAGGGUAACGGCCUACCAAGGCAACGAUCAGUA